UUCUCUUCCUGAAGCAAAUAUUACAAAAUAACUUCUAAAAUGAACACGAACUGUUUAAGAUUCUAGUAUAGGUGCCUAGCCCUUAGUGUUCCCCUGUUACGAGCACUGCUUGAAGGCACCUCAGAUGAGCAUGAUUGCCUGACAAAUAAUAGAGACGAAUUCCUUUCAAAAGUUCUUUGAAUUAUGAAAAUGGUACCCAAACACUGGCUGACAACUACUCAUUCUGGGGGACAUACAAGAUUAUAUCUGAGGGGAGCAGAGAGAUGGCAACUAACCUAUAAUCCUAGAAGUAUUCAUGUGCACAAGAAGAGGCUAUCCUAAUCUGUUCUUUGCAUCUGUCUAUGAAGAGUUUUGGUCUGCCAGGAUAACCAGAGCUCAUCUAUUUAGCAAGUUGGCCUGAUCUUUUUUUUUUUUUUUUUAACUCCACAAACAACUUGCCAUCAAGGACACGUGGACCCAUAUUUGUAUAAGGAAUAUCAUUAUAUACAUAUCUGGGAGCAAAGCACAGAGAUACAUACCACUGCUUCUUGCAUUUGAUUGUUGAAUUCAAUCAUCUUAUGGAAUAAAAAGCACUGCCACCACAUAUGCUCUUGUACCAGACCCACAUCCCCUCUCUUUAUCUGCAAUGCUGUCAUCCAGUUGUGCUGCUGGCAUGUCUCUUUAAGUUUGAAUUGAUCUGCUGAGGAGUAUGCCUGAUGCUGUUUGAGUAAAUGCUGCAAGCUGUGUCUGAAGCAGUGGGAGGUGAUGUGUUCUCAUAGUGUCUUAAUACUGACAAUCUUAAUUUCAGGUGAAUCAGUUUUAACUAACUUCUUCCUGUUCUGAUCCCUUCUAGAGUGCAGAAAGCCCUCCAUGUUGUUGAACAUGCCAGGUGGGACAACUUUGACAGGCUCUUGUAUGAGACUGAAAGCCAUUCACCAGUGCUUUUUUUCUACAGGUGGUACACAGCCUGUACUAGCUCAGUAAAAGCUUGCGCUUCUGUAAGUUCCAUCCCUGAAGAAGAGAGCAGUUGCUAUCUGACAAGCAUAUCCAGAGAGGAGAGAAUACAAAUUUGCAUUAGUCAUACCAAGACCUCAAAGACCUGAAAAGGUAUUCCUCUUUUUUUUUUUUUUUUCCUUCUACCAAAUUCUUCUUGUUUGUUGCAUCAUGUCCCUUAUGUCGUAUUGUCUGAGUGAUUCUUGAAUCUUUUUAUGGUUUGGAAUUUAAAUUUUAUGGUUUGGAAUUUAAAUUAAAAAAAAAAAAAGUGUUUUCAUACUACUUUACUGAUUGUAGGAACCUGUGCUAUUCUUUAAAAGAAAAACAAGUAAUUAAGGCAGAGGAGAAGGUACAAAGAGGAGGACAGAUGCAGACAGAAAGCUACAAAGAAGGAUAUGAACAUUUUUAUUGCAACAUUUUAUACAUUUUGACAAAAAUUAUUCUUCGUGAAUAUAUCCUAUAUUGCUAAAAACACAUAGACAAAUGUAAAAAGGACAUCUCUACACAUAUUUGAGUUAAAUACCUUUAUUGUCCUAUUAAAUAAUAUCUUAGUUCUACCAUGGAUUUUCUGGGACUGUUAUAAAUGUACCCAGGAUAUAAGCAAGCCUGCCUCUCAGAGACUAUAACAUCUUUUCAGACUUCCCUGCCCUACUUCUUUACUCAUGUGACAUUUUAAAACUCAUUACAUUCAGUAGGAUGCUGGACAAGAAAUGGUGUUUUUAACAUUUGGCAUGCAAUAGCUUCCAAAAGUAAUAAUUACAUAGAUUGCAUGCCUCUAUGAGAAGAAAGGGAUUUGUAACUUUUUUUUUUUUUUUUUUUAACUUUUACAAUCUGAGAUUUUGCAGGAUUGUAAUAGGGUUUUGCUUCUUCCCUUCUCUUCCUAAAAUUCAAGAGAUAUGCAUUUUUCCCUGAGAGCACUCCAUAGGGCAGGCCAGGGAAAUAAUAUUAAGACUACAGAGAGAAUUCCUAGCACUAUGACUUUGAAAUUAGAAGUAAUCUGUAUUUUAUCAUCUGAAUAUUGAAUUAGAAGCAAUCUGAAUUAUUUAUGAUCUGAACACUGACAUGUAAAUAGCCUUGUUAAACAUGUUCUUUUCCAAAUGAUGGCAUAGA
Molecule: long non-coding RNA, 2082 nt
Filed under: Anser cygnoides (Swan goose)
Lineage: Eukaryota; Metazoa; Chordata; Aves; Anseriformes; Anatidae
Description: lncRNA (ENSACDG00005002495.1)
Source: RNAcentral